UUUCAAAGUAGCAUUUUGUUGGGCUGUGAGAUGUUAAAGCCUCGGAAGAUCUCCACAUUGGCUUAAAAGAAUACAACAUAAAUAAAUUGAACAUCACAUCUUUGUGCUUUGUUGAAUUGAAGUCAUGUUUUGAUAUAUGAUAUGUUUGUAUGCCAAAAUGUUAAGAGUUGAAGGAUACGUCUGAGCCACAUAUCAGGUAAUAUGAAAAAUUAUUCAAGAUUCCAGAACAUACAUAUAUUAAGUACCAUAAUGUAAAUUUAUUCAUGUAUAAUUUAGCUUCCAUGAUAACAUGUUUAAUCAUUGAACUGUGAGUCAAUGCAUUGUUAUUAUAUUCUACUGCUGGAACUCUAUUAUUUAUUUUUCCAUCCAAUGGAAGCCCACUGCAAUUUAUUAUAACUCAUUCUGGAUUUUGGAUCCUUAUAACAUCAAUGAAUGAUUUCCCUUCAAGCUCGCGUGAAAAAUAUCCUUUGAUGUAAUCUUGUACACUAAUUUUAUCAAACAUUGCAGGUCUUUCAGGAGUAACAAGGCUCGGUGCUGGACCCAUAACCCCGUUCAAUCUAGGACUGUGGAAUGUGGCAAUGGAAAUCCUCUUCUGUUCGGAGUUAACCGUUGCUCGAUGUUCAAUGCUUCGGUAAACACCAUUAGUCAUUAUCUGCAAAACCAUUUACGAAACAUGCAAAAAAUCCUUAAAGAUAUUUUUUUAAUGUUAGAUGUAAAUAAGAGAUUUAUCACUAUGUUUGUUACCUCUAACAUGUCUCCAAUGUUGAUGAUAAAAGCUUCAGGGAGAGGCUUAAUUGGAAUCCACAUUCCAUCUUUUCUUAUUUGAAGGCCUUCAAUUUCAUUCACUUGGAGAAGGAUGGUGAGGGCACCAACAUCAGAAUGAGGUUUGAGUCCAAUGACCUGUUCUGGUUGGGGACAUGGAGGGUAGUAAUUCAUCCUCAUUGCUUGACUUCCCUCUUCAAAAUCCUCCAGCAACUCAUUUGGUUGGAUCUUUAGAGCUUUAGCCAUAAGCUCAAUGAUAGUGACACAUAGUUUUUUCAAUUCUAAAGAAUACCUCUCCAAAUUGUCUCUACAAGUAAAAAUUUGCUUUAGUUACAUAUAAAAUCAUUGCAAACACAUAGAUAUAGAGGGUAGGGAGGG
This 1140-nucleotide long non-coding RNA is filed under the name Lotus japonicus. RNAcentral's name for it is "long non-coding RNA (LJAP_LNC001385)". Lineage: Eukaryota; Viridiplantae; Streptophyta; Magnoliopsida; Fabales; Fabaceae. The record is from RNAcentral.